GCAGCCACUCAUUCAAAGAGUGCGUAAUAGCUCACUGGUCGAGUGAUCCUGCGCCGAAGAUUUCCGGGGCUAAAACUUACUACCGAAGCUACGGCAUCAGUAAUGAUGGGUAGGGGAGCUUCCCAUACGGGUUGAAGCAUGACCGUAAGGACAUGUGGACAGUAUGGGAGUGAGAAUGUUGGCAUGAGUAGCGAGAUGUGGGUGAGAAUCCCACAGGCCGUAAACCCAAGGUUUCCAGGGGAAGGUUCGUCCGCCCUGGGUUAGUCGGGACCUAAGCUGAGGCCGAAAGGCGUAGGUGAUGGACAACAGGUUGAUAUUCCUGUACUACCGAUAACCAUUUGAGAGAAGGGAUGACACAGUAGGAUAAGCUAAGCACACUGUUGGUUAUGUGUGCCCAAGCAUUGAGGCAGUCAAAGCAGGCAAAUCCGCUUUGAUAAUGCUGGGAUGUGAUGGGGAGCGAAAUUUAGUAGCGAAGUAGCUGAUUUCACACUGUCAAGAAAAGUCUCUAUCGAGGUUAAAGGUACCCGUACCGC
This 533-nucleotide ribosomal RNA is filed under the name Clostridioides difficile. RNAcentral's name for it is "bacterial LSU rRNA". It matches the Rfam family "Bacterial large subunit ribosomal RNA", at positions 1112 to 1650 of the family's 2925-position model. Lineage: Bacteria; Bacillati; Bacillota; Clostridia; Peptostreptococcales; Peptostreptococcaceae. The record is from RNAcentral.